UUUCUUCCCCCCCCCCCCCCCAUAUUUUUCUUCUUGAAAAUUACUAGUAUAAAUUGUUGCUUUGCUUCUCAACACCAUGCACAUUAUGUCAAAGAGUGGUUUUUGUGGUUGCAGCCUUGAAUAUAUUCUGAGACCUCACUUUCAUAAACUAUCUCAUAGACGUUGAUGAGAAUUUAGUUUAUAGUGUUUAGGAACUCUUUUUUUUGGGGUGCGGGAGGGAGAGGAGAGGAGCGAAGAUGGGGAGGGUUGGGACUUGGGAUGCUUGUACCUUUUUUAUGCUACAGAACUGCCGUAGGCACUCAUAGCCAGAUUAAGCUCUGAUAGGGACAUCUUCAACAAAGAAAAGCUAGCUUGGAUCUCGAAGUGGCGCAUCAUAGUAUCAUUCCAAUUUCAUAUGCGCAUGAGGCCUAGUGGUAUAUUUGCAGGGGUGCAAUCUAGUUGUCGCAAGUUCAAUUCCUAGAAGCAGUCUCUCCGCAUAUUAUGUGGGGGUAAGGUCCGUGUGCAUCCUGCUUGUCUCCGACCCCACCCACUACGAGAGGCUUGCUCGAGAGUUUUUUUAUUUAUUUACGUGCAUGUGAAUGCGGCUUUUUUUAUGAUGUCAAAAUUUGAAUUUGAGUUCCUCCAUCAGAGUUCAAAUAUUCAUAUAAUUGGCUUUGGCAUUAUUG
Molecule: long non-coding RNA, 665 nt
Organism: Tripterygium wilfordii
Lineage: Eukaryota; Viridiplantae; Streptophyta; Magnoliopsida; Celastrales; Celastraceae
Exons: 2
Source: RefSeq, a predicted model, not a curated record